CGUGUAGGCGGUUCCUUAAGUUUGCUGUGAAAUCUCCCGGCUUAACCGGGAGGGUGCGGUGAAUACUGAGGGACUAGAGUACGGGAGAGGAAAGUGGAAUUCCUGGUGUAGCGGUGAAAUGCGUAGAUAUCAGGAGGAACACCGGUGGUGUAGACGGCUUUCUGGACCGUAACUGACGCUGAGACACGAAAGCAUGGGUAGCAAACA
RNAcentral lists this ribosomal RNA (207 nucleotides) under uncultured bacterium. RNAcentral's name for it is "partial 16S ribosomal RNA". It matches the Rfam family "Bacterial small subunit ribosomal RNA", at positions 568 to 774 of the family's 1533-position model. The record is from RNAcentral.